CCAAAAACUUUGCUUGCUUGGAUGGUUUACUCCGUUCUGCAACAAAACCCCCUCCGUGUACCUGUAUCUGUUGCUUCCGUUGGCCAGCGAGCAGCCCUUGAAUGGGUGCUCCCUCCGGUGCCUGAUCGAGCGAGAUCGGCUGGGGAGCUGCCGGCGGAUAGCUAGUGCGAAAGCAUUAAACUCAUGUCAACGAUGUGUAGACUGUCUGAGCUUUGGUGCUACAAAACAAAGCUAA
RNAcentral lists this unclassified non-coding RNA (235 nucleotides) under uncultured fungus. RNAcentral's name for it is "sequence contains ITS1". The record is from RNAcentral. Lineage: Eukaryota; Fungi.